Molecule: ribosomal RNA, 427 nt
Filed under: uncultured bacterium
Lineage: Bacteria
Description: partial 16S ribosomal RNA
Rfam family: Bacterial small subunit ribosomal RNA
Source: RNAcentral
UGGGGAAUAUUGCACAAUGGGCGCAAGCCUGAUGCAGCCAUGCCGCGUGUAUGAAGAAGGCCUUCGGGUUGUAAAGUACUUUCAGCGGGGAGGAAGGCGAUGCGGUUAAUAACCGCGUCGAUUGACGUUACCCGCAGAAGAAGCACCGGCUAACUCCGUGCCAGCAGCCGCGGUAAUACGGAGGGUGCAAGCGUUAAUCGGAAUUACUGGGCGUAAAGCGCACGCAGGCGGUGUGUCAAGUCGGAUGUGAAAUCCCCGGGCUCAACCUGGGAACUGCAUCCGAAACUGGCAGGCUUGAGUCUCGUAGAGGGGGGUAGAAUUCCAGGUGUAGCGGUGAAAUGCGUAGAGAUCUGGAGGAAUACCGGUGGCGAAGGCGGCCCCCUGGACGAAGACUGACGCUCAGGUGCGAAAGCGUGGGGAGCAAACA